Molecule: non-coding RNA, 82 nt
Filed under: uncultured Butyrivibrio sp.
Lineage: Bacteria; Bacillati; Bacillota; Clostridia; Lachnospirales; Lachnospiraceae
Description: S10-Clostridia ribosomal protein leader
Rfam family: S10-Clostridia ribosomal protein leader
Source: RNAcentral
UGAUAGCUGUGAAGCGCGAGGUUGCUACUUAAUAUAGUAGGUUUUCCGUGGAGCGAAUGUCAAGUUAGGAAACUGACGACAA